RNAcentral lists this ribosomal RNA (863 nucleotides) under uncultured Planctomycetia bacterium. Its description in RNAcentral is "bacterial SSU rRNA". It matches the Rfam family "Bacterial small subunit ribosomal RNA", at positions 53 to 935 of the family's 1533-position model. The record is from RNAcentral. Lineage: Bacteria; Pseudomonadati; Planctomycetota; Planctomycetia.
GCAUGCAAGUCGAGCGCGAACCCCGCAAGGGGGGAAAGCGGCGAAAGGGACAGUAACACGUAGAUUACCUACCCUCAGGUUCAGGAUAGCUGCGGGAAACUGCAGGUAAUACUGAAUGAUGUCUCCGGACCAAAGGUGUGAUUCCGCCGGAGGAUGGGUCUGCGUCCUAUUAGCUUGUUGGUGGGGUAACGGCCUACCAAGGCAAUGAUGGGUAGUGGGUGUGAGAGCACGACCCGCGUCACUGGGACUGAGAUACUGCCCAGACACCUACGGGUGGCUGCAGUCGAGGAUCUUCGGCAAUGGGCGCAAGCCUGACCGAGCGACGCCGCGUGCGGGAUGAAGGCCUUCGGGUUGUAAACCGCUGUCAGAGGGGAUGAAAUACAGGUGGGUUCUCCCAUCUGCUUGACAUAUCCUCAGAGGAAGUACGGGCUAAGUUCGUGCCAGCAGCCGCGGUAAGACGAACCGUACGAACGUUAUUCGGAAUCACUGGGCUUAAAGGGUGCGUAGGCUGCGCAGAAAGUUGGGUGUGAAAUCCCUCGGCUUAACCGAGGAACUGCGCCCAAAACUACUGUGCUCGAGGGAGACAGAGGUGAGCGGAACUUAGGGUGGAGCGGUGAAAUGCGUUGAUAUCCUAAGGAACACCGGUGGCGAAAGCGGCUCACUGGGUCUCUUCUGACGCUGAGGCACGAAAGCUAGGGUAGCGAACGGGAUUAGAUACCCCGGUAGUCCUAGCUGUAAACGAUGAGCACUGGGUUGAAGCCCCCCAUACUUUCAGCCGCAGCGAAAGUGUUGAGUGCUCCGCCUGGGGAUAUGGUCGCAAGGCUGAACUCAAAGGAAUUGACGGGGGCUCACACUAGCGGUGA